Molecule: ribosomal RNA, 379 nt
Filed under: uncultured eukaryote
Lineage: Eukaryota
Description: partial 18S ribosomal RNA
Rfam family: Eukaryotic small subunit ribosomal RNA
Source: RNAcentral
CAAUAGCGUAUAUUAAAGUUGUUGCAGUUAAAAAGCUCGUAGUUGGAUUUCUGAUGAGAGUACGGGUCGGCCUUAACGGGUUGCACUGUUGUUACGUCUCGUCGUUUCGAGGGGAAUGGGUUCGCUAUUAGGUUAGUGGGCUCGGGAACCUUGUCGUUUACUGUGAAAAAAUUAGAGUGUUCAAAGCAGGCCUUUGCUGUGAAUACAUUAGCAUGGAAUAAUAAGAUAGGACUGUAGUGCUAUUUUGUUGGUUUGCGUACUAUGGCAAUGAUUAAUAGGGAUAGUUGGGGGUAUUCAUAUUCAAUUGUCAGAGGUGAAAUUCUUGGAUUUAUGGAAGAUGAACUACUGCGAAAGCAUUUACCAAGGAUGUUUUCAUUAA